AUGGAGUACUAUAACAUGACAAGGCGACCAAUGCCACCAGCAAUGAUGUUUGCUAUCAAGACGUACAUGGCUCAGAACCGACAAUACCGACAAAAUGAACAAUCGUUAAGACAUAUAGCAUCUUCCCCUGGCUAUGGGGCGAUGAAUCUGACAUCCAAUAUCAUGCAAGGUGCGAGUGAAAAUUCUAGAAUGUCUUAUGUGACGGGCAAUGUUGGCCCUUUGCCAUCUAGUGCAGACAUGGUUCUGCAGAACGCCAACAUGGAUACCUCACUGCCAGAAGGAGCUUCUGAUGGGCAUGUGAACACAAUGCUUUCACUAGGGAUAAACCCUACACCGCAUGAUCUUUCUGGAGCGUCCAACAACAACCUGUUAACGCACAAUCUAGAUACACGUGAAGCCAACAGAUUCUCUCCCAAGGCGGCGCAGGGACGCCCGGCGCCUGUGAAGGAUCUCCCAAGGGAACCAAAAUUCACCUGCCCAGUCUGCAUCAACGAGCUAGUCGAUGCAUCAUCUACUAUCUGCGGCCACAUCUUCUGCAAGAAAUGCAUAGAGGCCUCCAUCCGAUUUCAGAAGAAGUGCCCUACGUGUCGUAGGAGGCUGACCAUGAGAAAUUUCCACCGCAUCUACCUCCCGGCGAUGGAUUGA
RNAcentral lists this ribosomal RNA (645 nucleotides) under Triticum aestivum (bread wheat). RNAcentral describes it as "partial small subunit ribosomal RNA". The record is from RNAcentral. Lineage: Eukaryota; Viridiplantae; Streptophyta; Magnoliopsida; Poales; Poaceae.